GUCUACAGCCAUACCACCCUCAAUGUGCCCGAUCUCAUUUGGUCUCAGAAACUAAGCAGGGUCGGGCCUGAUUAGUACUCAGAUGGGAGAUCACCUGGGAAUGCCGUAUGGUGUAGGCU
RNAcentral lists this ribosomal RNA (119 nucleotides) under Carlito syrichta (Philippine tarsier). Lineage: Eukaryota; Metazoa; Chordata; Mammalia; Primates; Tarsiidae. The record is from RNAcentral.